This 492-nucleotide ribosomal RNA is filed under the name uncultured bacterium. Its description in RNAcentral is "partial 16S ribosomal RNA". It matches the Rfam family "Bacterial small subunit ribosomal RNA", at positions 29 to 507 of the family's 1533-position model. The record is from RNAcentral.
AGUGAACGCUGGCGGUAGGCCUAACACAUGCCAGUCGAACGGCAGCACAGUAAGAGCUUGCUCUUACGGGUGGCGAGUGGCGGACGGGUGAGGAAUACAUCGGAAUCUACUUUUUCGUGGGGGAUAACGUAGGGAAACUUACGCUAAUACCGCAUACGACCUACGGGUGAAAGCAGGGGAUCUUCGGACCUUGCGCGAUUGAAUGAGCCGAUGUCGGAUUAGCUAGUUGGCGGGGUAAAGGCCCACCAAGGCGACGAUCCGUAGCUGGUCUGAGAGGAUGACCGGCCACACUGGAACUGAGACACGGUCCAGACUCCUACGGGAGGCAGCAGUGGGGAAUAUUGGACAAUGGGCGCAAGCCUGAUCCAGCCAUACCGCGUGGGUGAAGAAGGCCUUCGGGUUGUAAAGCCCUUUUGUUGGGAAAGAAAAGCAGCAGGUUAAUACCCCGCUGUUCUGACGGUACCCAAAGAAUAAGCACCGGCUAACUUCGUG